GUCAUUAACAGGCUUAUCGAACACGCACUGCAUGGAUUUGAUUGUUCAUUAUUUGUGUUUCCUCAGGCUGGAAAAGAUGCAUUUUCCAGGCAGAGGUCACAUAAAAGGUCAGGAAUGAUUUCUUUGCAGAGUUUUCAGGGCUUUGGAACCACACUGGAAUCGCCCCUGGACUGGAGAUGCAAAGUCCUGUUCAUAGUCUCCAGAUGUUUUUUGGAGGUACUCAUCUCCCUGCAUAUUAAUCAGUGCAAGCACAGACACGCUUGAAUUCACUGAGAUGGAGAAAAAAAAGGAGAGAUGAAAGUCAGUCAAGCAAAAACCAAAAAGACAAAAAGUCGUGUC
Long non-coding RNA from Oreochromis aureus, 339 nucleotides. RefSeq lists it as uncharacterized. NCBI's taxonomy places the organism in Eukaryota, Metazoa, Chordata, Actinopteri, Cichliformes, Cichlidae. The transcript is spliced from 3 exons. The record is from RefSeq and is a predicted model, not a curated record.